ACAAGCAUGUCGGAAUCGGUAAACGAAUCUUUCUUAAGAAAAGACGCCUUAAACGGCUUGAGAGUUCGAGUCUCUCUGCUUGUA
This 84-nucleotide transfer RNA is filed under the name Pascua guehoae. Its description in RNAcentral is "tRNA-Leu". It matches the Rfam family "tRNA". From Rfam's summary of the family: Transfer RNA (tRNA) molecules are approximately 80 nucleotides in length. Lineage: Eukaryota; Fungi; Basidiomycota; Tremellomycetes; Trichosporonales; Trichosporonaceae. The record is from RNAcentral.